RNAcentral lists this transfer RNA (73 nucleotides) under Pleodorina starrii. RNAcentral describes it as "tRNA-Arg". It matches the Rfam family "tRNA". Rfam says of the family: Transfer RNA (tRNA) molecules are approximately 80 nucleotides in length. Their secondary structure includes four short double-helical elements and three loops (D, anti-codon, and T loops). Further hydrogen bonds mediate the characteristic L-shaped molecular structure. tRNAs have two regions of fundamental functional importance: the anti-codon, which is responsible for specific mRNA codon recognition, and the 3' end, to which the tRNAs corresponding amino acid is attached (by aminoacyl-tRNA synthetases). tRNAs cope with the degeneracy of the genetic code in two manners: having more than one tRNA (with a specific anti-codon) for a particular amino acid; and 'wobble' base-pairing, i.e. permitting non-standard base-pairing at the 3rd anti-codon position. The record is from RNAcentral. Lineage: Eukaryota; Viridiplantae; Chlorophyta; Chlorophyceae; Chlamydomonadales; Volvocaceae.
GGGCCUAUGGCUUAAUGGAUAAAGCGCCGGUCUUCGGAACCGGAGACUCCAGUUUCGAUCCCUGGUAGGCUUG